GCUGAGUUAAGCCCUCAGUCAGUAGAGCAUGAGACUCUUAAACUCAGGCCAGGUUUUGGGUUCGAGCCCCACAUUGGGCA
This is a non-coding RNA of Podarcis lilfordi (Lilford's wall lizard), 80 nucleotides long. Lineage: Eukaryota; Metazoa; Chordata; Lepidosauria; Squamata; Lacertidae. The record is from the annotation of a GenBank genome assembly.